ACCAUCUUACUAACAACUGAUCGCAUAGUUACCAACUUGAUACUUUGUUCUAUUUUGUGGUUGCCAAAGUGUAAUAGUGCAACAAUGGCUUCCCUUAAGGCAAGCCAAAUCCUGUUGAUCAUAUGGGCAAGUUUCAUCGCAAUCUUGAUGCUUGGUACUCCACAUGUCAAUGCUGCUGUUCUUGACGGGGCAAUGCCAGAGCUUCGUCCAGGUAUGUGCAAAUAAGUACACUGCAAAAAAUGUACUAUUUUUUAGGGAAAUUUUAUCAUCCCCUUUAAUUAUCAUACCCAUGAUUAUAAUUUAAUAAAUUCUUGCCACAUUAUUCAAUAGCUUAAACUCUUAAAAUCAUUUAAGCGUUGAUAUUUCUUUUUAUAAAUUCAACGAUGAAUUGAUACGUAAUAGUACAGUUUCCAAAAGAUAUCACAGAACUCCCCUUUUUCUUUAAAAAAAAGCAUUUGUACUACUAUAUAUGUGUCAAUUAAUUGAGCCAGGAAAUCUGCUUUAUUUUUCAUUUAGAAAUAUUAUACACAAAAGUGGACCAAACCUCAUAACGGCUCAGUUUGAUCGAAUGAGUUUGAUUCUUACAUUUCCUCAAAUAAUCAUCAAAUUAUUUUUUCACUCAAACUACGUACAAAUGGUACAAGAUAUAUGUCAGACACCGCAUUUGUUUUCUGUACAUUGAUUUUGGUCAUAUACUAAAGGUUGUUUGUCAUUUGCCACAGGAAGAAGACUUCUCAACGAGUACAAUACCGAAGGCCGUGGUGGGUACAAUGGCGCAGGAAGCAGUGGGUAUCAUACCGAAGGCCGUGGUGGGUACAAUGGCGCAGGAAGCAGUGGGUAUCAUACCGAAAGAACAAGGCUAAAUAAGGCUCCCUAAGAGAAAAAGGCUAAAUACUGCACAAGUUAGAAGAGCAGAAACUGAUUCUGUUCUAUUAUAGAAUAAAAGUGCUAUGUCUUCUUCUUCUUUUUUUUUUUGUUCUUUUUUUGGGGUGAGAAGUGCUAUAUCUAUACAGUGUUAUGAGUUUUAUAGCAUAAGUUUCAAGGUACUAUAUAUGUUGUUGUACUACCUGUAAUAGUUUCUAAUGAUGUUUGGAUCUUGCUUCAAUAAAAGUUUAUUUUAAUUUUUAAAGUAAAUAUUCAACUAUGCAAGAAGUGAAGAUAUUCCAUCCUUGAACAAAUCCUUUUCUUUUUUCUUUUUUU
Molecule: long non-coding RNA, 1200 nt
Filed under: Coffea arabica (coffee)
Lineage: Eukaryota; Viridiplantae; Streptophyta; Magnoliopsida; Gentianales; Rubiaceae
Description: long non-coding RNA (CARA_LNC006953)
Source: RNAcentral